AGACGAACCGUCCAAACGUUAUUCGGAAUCACUGGGCUUAAAGGGUGCGUAGGCGGCCUGGCAAGUUGGGUGUGAAAUCCCUCGGCUCAACCGAGGAACUGCGCCCAAAACUGCCAGACUUGAGGGAGAUAGAGGUGAGCGGAACUUAGGGUGGAGCGGUGAAAUGCGUUGAUAUCAUCUGGAACACCGGUGGCGAAAGCGGCUCACUGGGUCUCUUCUGACGCUGAGGUACGAAAGCUAGGGUAGCGAACGGGAUUAGAAACCCCAGUAGUCC
This 274-nucleotide ribosomal RNA is filed under the name uncultured bacterium. Its description in RNAcentral is "partial 16S ribosomal RNA". It matches the Rfam family "Bacterial small subunit ribosomal RNA", at positions 523 to 796 of the family's 1533-position model. The record is from RNAcentral.